This 293-nucleotide ribosomal RNA is filed under the name uncultured bacterium. RNAcentral's name for it is "partial 16S ribosomal RNA". It matches the Rfam family "Bacterial small subunit ribosomal RNA", at positions 775 to 1067 of the family's 1533-position model. The record is from RNAcentral.
GGAUUAGAUACCCUGGUAGUCCACGCCGUAAACGAUGUCUACUAGCCGUAGGGUUCCUUGAGGACUUUGUGGCGUAGCUAACGCGCUAAGUAGACCGCCUGGGGAGUACGGCCGCAAGGUUAAAACUCAAAUGAAUUGACGGGGGCCCGCACAAGCGGUGGAGCAUGUGGUUUAAUUCGAUGCAACGCGAAGAACCUUACCAGGUCUUGACAUCCAGAUAAUUUAGCAGAAAUGUUUUAGUGCCUUCGGGAAAUCUGAGACAGGUGCUGCAUGGCUGUCGUCAGCUCGUGCCG